UCCGACCUCCGGGCGACCGCCGGCGUUUCGCUGGAGGAAAGUCCGGGCUCCGCAGGGCAGGGUGGUGGGCAACCCCCACCGCUCCACAUGGAGCAGGGAAAGUGCCACAGAGAACAGACCGCCGGCUGGCCGGACUCGUCCGGCAACGGUAAGGGUGAAACGGCGAGGUAAGAGCUCACCGCGGCGCGGGAAACCGCUCCGGCACGGCAAACCCCACCCGGAGAAAGACCGAAUAGGAGGAUCGCGUGGCCCGCGCCCAGAUCCUCGGGUAGGUCGUUGGAGAUCGACCGCGAGGUCGAUCGCAGAGAAAUGGUCGCCACCGGGCAUCGCCCGGGACCAGGACCCGGCUUACGGGGGUCGGACAUU
This 366-nucleotide RNase P RNA is filed under the name Planctomycetota bacterium. RNAcentral describes it as "Planctomycetes bacterium (activated sludge metagenome) RNase P RNA component class A". It matches the Rfam family "Bacterial RNase P class A". From Rfam's summary of the family: Ribonuclease P (RNase P) is a ubiquitous endoribonuclease, found in archaea, bacteria and eukarya as well as chloroplasts and mitochondria. Its best characterised activity is the generation of mature 5'-ends of tRNAs by cleaving the 5'-leader elements of precursor-tRNAs. The record is from RNAcentral. Lineage: Bacteria; Pseudomonadati; Planctomycetota.